RNAcentral lists this long non-coding RNA (2540 nucleotides) under Limulus polyphemus (Atlantic horseshoe crab). RNAcentral describes it as "uncharacterized LOC111086366". The record is from RNAcentral. Lineage: Eukaryota; Metazoa; Arthropoda; Merostomata; Xiphosura; Limulidae.
GAACUCUGAUCUCGUAAUUUACAACUGUUUAUAACUAUUUAUGGAUGUUAGUGAGAUAAAAAGUACCUGAACGUAUUUUGAAUGAGGUAUAGAAGCAUAGGGGGUAGGGUUGUAAGCCUUAUUAUUUUUAUGUUUAAGCUCCUCUGUAGGACUUGCAAUAAGUAUAUCACUUCGGAUACAAAUUUUCUAAAGUUUUACUAUACAAAUCGUUUUUUAUCAUUCGUGUUCUACAUUUAAAAAAAUAGUUGGAGAGACUCCUACUUCCUAUUAAAAAGUUCUACGCUUAAACUUUAUAACAUAAUUAAUAAUAUAUAGAGAGAGAUAUAUAUAGAUAUGAUAGUUUCUGCCUUUUUUUCUUUGUUUUGGUAUAAACUAAUACAUUGAAUUCCUUAUUAAUAACUAUAGAAACAGACAUCAAUAAGUAUAUAUUCAUAUGGCAAAUACAAUUGUUAAGCUACUCAUAUAGUUAGCAGAAUUACUAAUUUCUUUGUAAUAUGCACUUUUUAUGAAAUUAUUAUUAUUAUUACAAGAAACCGAGAAUUUGUUGAACUGUUUGUAUAUAUGGCAUUAAUAAUGUUGUCUUUAUAUUUUCCAGUAUAUUUUUUUUUCAUGCUAUAUAUUUGAUUGAAAUCAAAGUCUAAGUGUGGAUUGUAUCAUGAUUUUGAGAGUAUUUUCAGUGUAACAUGAAACAUUUGUAUUAACUUUAGGCGUUACUCAAAAAUUAGUUGUGUAUUACAUGUCGCAUGCUACUUGAAUUGUUGUCUUUUGCAGAUAGGUGAGAUGUAUAUAUGAUGAAGUAUUGUUGAAAUUCAAAAAUACAGUGCUGUUGAACCAUUUGAUGUUCGAAACCCGUUUGGUUUGAUAGUUAGAAAAUUCGAAACUUUUUCCCGUACAAAACCAAACAUUUUUAUCUAGGUUUCUAUCAUUCAGUUUCCAGAGAAAGUGAAAUGGAAACCCUGUAUCAUUUAGUUCAAAACAAGUCUAAUUAACUAAAGAGUCCAUAAAUUGCGAUCGUUUAUCUUCACUCUGUGUUUUGUAACUGUUCGUACGUCUGUUUAAAGUCUAGAUAAAGAGAAGUUCUUAUUAGACUUUUAUAAUUUUUUUUAUCUUCAAAUAAAACAUUUGGUGAUAUCCAAUGCUGGCACAUUGGAUUUAUAAAGAGGUGGGGGUACGUGUUUGCUGUUUGAUUCCGAAUAAUUUUCCUGCCAUUCUGGUAAAUCAUAAUUAUGUUUGAUAUGAAUGAAAAUCCACCCACACCCUCCCUCUAUUUGUGGUAAAUACGUUCAUUUUUUUACCCCAUACUCAUGGGAAAAGAUCAAAGACAAAUAAAUAAAAUUGUCCUUAAACAUUUUUUAGAAUAUAUUUCUUUAAAUUAGUUCCGAUUUUCUCUGUCAAUUGAGACUGUAGAUUGUAUUAUUUAAAUGUCAAGGUUAUGACUUCUAAAUAUAUGCCGGAAAAUAGGAGCAGAAAAUUAACCUUCUUGCGUUUUUUAAAUCAAUUUAAGGUCUUGCAUUGAUACGCUGGAGUAGAAUAGCAUUUUUUAAAGUAGUGAUAAGAUCUAAGCACAAUUCUGAGUCUCGGCCUUUAUAAAUAUAGGACAAACCAACAUGAUUUACUAUUAAUUCGUUAUUAUUUUUGCAUUUUUAACGAAACCGCAUUGAAUUUCAAAUAUUUCCGAUAGAUGGCCACUUCGAACAGAAUAAGCACAUUUAAUUUCAAUGGCUACAAAUUUCUAUCUUUAAUUACUCAUACGUCUUCCAUUGAUUUUUUUUUUUAAUCUAGAUCAGAAGUUCAGUUUUUGUGGUUAUUAUUAGCAAGAGUUUUAAGAAACAUGAAAAUAUUCAAUGUGCAUUACACGUGAAUCUAAGUUGCCAUAAUACAUCACACACUGAUUUUUUUUUAUAGUUCUUAUACAAAGUAGUGGUUAAUAUGCCAGGCUGCGGGUCCAAAGUUCGAGACCGCGAUAUGCCGCUGAACAGGCUGCAUACUUUCAGCCGUGAGUGUAUUAUGAACUUGAUAGUUACCGUCUGAAUAUUGAAGUCUUUAGUCUAGCCGUUUAGCUCAUGUGUCGCUUGAAGUGCCGUUUAAUUCACGUGUCGCAUGAGGUGCCGUUUAGCUCACGUGUCGCAUAAUGUACCGUUUAGCUCACGUGUCGCACAACAUACCGUUUAGCUCACGUGUCGCAUGAAGUGCCGUUUAACUCAAGUGUCGCAUGAGGUGCCGUUUAGCUCACGUGUCGCAUAACGUACCGUUUAGCUCACUUGUCGCAUGAAGUGCCAUUUAGCUCACGUGUCGCAUGAAGUGCCGUUCAAGCCGAAAAUACCAAACAUUUUAAUGAAACUCUAAUUAGAGUUACUGGGUACUUUAGUAAGAUCAGGUGUUUAGAACGAUUCAGUGAAGACGUUAUAGCGUUAACUAGGUUUCAUUUGCUGGCUGCUGUUAACUUUUGUUAUGUGGCAUUAUAGAUAUUAGAGAUGAUCAGUCUAUCAAACUACUAAACAUGUAGUGUCAAAACUGUAAAUAAAGUUUUUGAAAAUGUA